CAUCUUUAUUAGGUUUAUAGGGUACCUAGACCGAAAGCCAAGCCUUAAUCGGGACUAGUUUUCUAGAGUUUUAUGUGAGAAAGUUGAAUGAUCAGAGUAGAGUCAAAAUUCGCUAAUACUGAUAAGACGGAUAACGGCGAAGGCUGCUUUCUAUGUAAAAAACUGACGUUGAGGUACGAAGCCCAGGGUAGCAAGAAGGAUUAGAUACCCUAGUAGUCCUGGGAGAAAAUUAUGAGUGCCAUAGAUUAGAUAUAUGAUUAAUUUAUAAAUGAAAGUGUAAGCAUUCCACCUCAUGAGUAAAGCGGCAACGCCCAAAUUGAAAUCAUUAGACCGUUUCUGAAACCAGUAGUGAAGUAUGUUAUUUAAUUCGAUAAUCCGCGAAAAACCUUACCACACUUUGAAUAAUAUUCAAUUUUUACAAGCGCUGCACGGCUGUCUACAGUUGAUAUCGUGAGAUUUUGGUUAAUUCCUUUAAUUAACGAAAACCCUUGUUUUAUUUUUUCAAAUAAAGCUGUUCUCCGUCUAGAUGGGAUAUGCUAAAAGGGAGCAAGACAAGUCAUUAUGGCCUUAUA
Molecule: ribosomal RNA, 572 nt
Filed under: Muellerella atricola
Lineage: Eukaryota; Fungi; Ascomycota; Eurotiomycetes; Verrucariales; Verrucariaceae
Description: bacterial SSU rRNA
Rfam family: Bacterial small subunit ribosomal RNA
Source: RNAcentral